Molecule: ribosomal RNA, 263 nt
Filed under: uncultured bacterium
Lineage: Bacteria
Description: partial 16S ribosomal RNA
Rfam family: Bacterial small subunit ribosomal RNA
Source: RNAcentral
UUGAACGCUGGCGGCAUGCCUUACACAUGCAAGUCGAACGGUAGAGGGGCAACCCUUGAGAGUGGCGAACGGGUGAGUAACACGUAGGUAACCUACCUUUUAGAUUGGGAUAACAGUUGGAAACGAUUGCUAAUACCAAAUGAUAUAUAGGAGGGGAACUUUCUAUAGUAAAAGGGUGCUUUAAAGCAUCGCUUUAAGAUGGGCCUGCGGUGUAUUAGCUAGUUGGUAGGGUAAUGGCCUACCAAGGCAACGAUGCAUAGCCG